Long non-coding RNA from Esox lucius (northern pike), 3350 nucleotides. The record is from Ensembl. Lineage: Eukaryota; Metazoa; Chordata; Actinopteri; Esociformes; Esocidae.
GUGUCAAAAGGAUUAUACUGUUUUCCUUGGAAAUGUCUAAUAUUGUGAAUUGUUCCAUUGUAAACCACUGUAUACUGUGGUUGUAGUACCAAUGUCAGGCCACCAAGAAAAUACUCCAUCCAGUAUCAUCUUAUUAUCAGAGUACUGUUUUCUCACCUAGAUGAUUUUGACUUUUACGGUCUUGAGGUGGAACCAGCUGAGAUGGACAGUGGCUCUGACCUCUUGAUGCACUAAUGUUUGUUCAUUAGAUUUUUAAAGAAUCAACGGGUAUAUUACAUAUUUAUAUAUGUGAAUAUCAUCACAGGAACUACAGAUAAAACCACUACUAAUUUCAACACCCCAGCGCUGCUCUACUGCCGGUAAAAAAAACUCCUGAGGGAGUGAGAUGGAGGCAGGCUAUGUAGAGAUUACAAGUUUUCUCAGGCGUCCUAUGAAGCCGUGGGUCUUGCAUGUCUUCAUAACAGCUGUCUGGAUAUGCAGACAUCUGAAGGGGGAACAAGUGGCUUUAUACAUUUGCGUUUGUUCGUACGGAUUCAGCAGACCUUUGAGGUCCGACCUGCCAGUGCCGAUACUGAGAGCAGCUUGAUACAGGUGUAGUUUCGGAGUUAUUACGGCUGCCCGGGGGUCCCCCUGCAAAACACGCAGCACAGCUCCAUGUCAAACUCUUCCUGCACACUGAACCAACAACACAGCACUGCUACUGUCCUGAGCAAGACAUUUUUUUGCCUGCAGUCUAGCACGAAAACAUGUCUGAGAGAAUAUGGUUUUAGUUCUGAUAACCGACAAAUAUUUCUCAAGUGAAGCCUCUAGUUAUUUUUCAUUCCACGUACAGCAUUGUACUGAUAUUCUUUGCCUUAGUUUGUUUGGGUUUGUUUAAUAGCAAUGAUGUCCAAACUGUAAAUCUUUUUCCUGUUGUUUAGUUUGAUUUGCUUAUACAGACUUGCUUUCCUUUUUCUGAUAUGAACUGUAGAAAUGUGUUUCUCAAAGAGAAUGUUUAAACAAUGCCAACAAUGUGAAUUUUCUCGAUACUCUUGGUUAACACGUUAUGCGUUCAGAAGACAGCAGAGCAAAGUUGACAGAUCAAACUACUAUUCCCCAUGAAAUUCCAGCCCAUUAAAUUAAUGAAAAUCUAAAAACACAUGUAUGGAUUUGAUCAUAACAGAUCACUUUUAUCUAAACAUUUCAUGCCCAAGAAGGGAGACACCAGAGGAAGUAAGACACCAAAGAAAAGUGUUGUUUGAACUACAGAAGUCCUGCAACCUUGUAAGCUUAAUCAAGUGUGCCUGUUGAAGUCAAGGACAUGCAGGAUAGCAAAGAGCUAUUUGUGUUUUGUAUUAGCUCACACGCUACUUUCUACUGAAAGUUUCGAUCCAGAACUUUUUGAAAAUGCUUAGUUAUUUUUUCGACAGAGGAGCAAUGGAUAGCUGAUUUGCAAGAGUUGUUGUUCAUGUGUGUCAUCCUAAUGAAAAAGCAGAUUAUAUUUGUCGUGCUUCCUUUUGGUUGUAAAAUACUUACCCUACCCUAACACUAAACCGGCAAAUGGUCAAUUAAUCCAUACUGUAAACAUAAAGAAAACAGAUGUAUUUAGCCAUAGUGGACAUUCAUAUUGUUUAUGGUGCUGCUAUUUUAAUGUGGUCAGGUGGGUGUAGUGUAACUCUCAACUUCACUGGCUUAUCCUUGAUGAUCGCCCAGUUGGUGUCAAUUUGGAAAUCUCACCUACUUGACUAGAUUAAAAUGGCGGAUGCCUUCUGCGGCGAAGUCCAUGCUCUCAUAGACAGAAUAAUAUUUUCAUUCGUUAGUCCUUCGCAUCAGACACUUUACUGUUUUUGUGAAAUAGCGCCUCCCUUAACACGCGAGGAAUAAUGGAAAACAGUUCAUAUUAAGGCAAUAGAACGAAUAGAAAAUAUGAAUGGUUUUGAUGGACGCUAAUUUAUUUAGACAAAUUACCUAGUGCGUGAGUAUAUAGAGGUAAAUGUAUUUCAAUGCAAUUGGUCAAAUGAGGAUAAAAAAAAUCAAAGUAAAACAAUAAAUAAUUAACUAAAAGUGUUCAAAAUUAACUGUUCACGAGUCUGGAACCCUGCAUCUUAAUGGUACUGUCUUUGAUGGAUAUGUGCUACCUCGUCAAGAAGAACAUUGGUUUCUUCAGCUCUGAAUGCUUGUUUUCUCUUGCUUUACAUUUUUGCUCAAAAAUAAUUUGAAUGGAUCUUUCCCACUAUGCUUUAUACUCACAGUUAACCAUGUGUUGAUUGCUAUGUGACUUAAGUAACAUCCAUAUAGCCACCCGAGGAACUGUUGGAUGUCAUGUGAUCGAUUUCCGGAGAUAUGAUUUUGAUUGACUGAAGUCCACCCCUUUGGAUAUGUUUCCUCCAAAUUGAAUGUCACUACUUCUUCAAGUUUUACAUUUUCCUAUUGAUGCCUAAGUAGAAUACAUCACCUGCGAUAUUAUAUGGUUCUGAUUACAGAACCAUAUGAUAAUCUGUAUCGAAAUGCAGUAGCGCAGGCUAUGUUUCAAAUUGUUUUCACGGCCUAAUUCAAUUUCAAACCCCAAAAUUGGUGUAAUUCCAUUAGAAACGGCCGUGGAGUAGCACUUACCAUGCACUUUGUAAAGAGCGGAUGAGCGUGGUGGUUUCAGAAACGGGCGUAAAUCGUUCGUAACAAAAUCCACAUAAGGCUACGCGCAUGGUUAAACCGUCGUAAGUGCCACGUGAUCUGGAAACCGAGGCUAGAUCUAACAACUAAUGUUAUGUGUUGCUAAUAGUGGUUUGGCGAUGUAAUGGGUAAUACCAUGCUUUUGCUGCUGAAUGUGAUCAAUUGAAUGUGAUCAAAUGAUUAAUUAUUUUUUAUUUGAAAUUGUUUUGUUUCUUUUACAUUCAGUGGGCAGUUAUUUCUCUUAUGUUUGGCUUUUCUCCAGCUUUAACAUCCUCCCUAGAUGCCUGCACUCUAUACAAAAACACUAUACAGAAACACCAGAAAUUCUCAAAUUUCACAGACCUUCAGCAUUUUUUUUUAUGCACUGAAAAUAUAAAUUUCAUACUGAAAGUCAAAGCAGUAUGUUAAACCAGAAACCUAUGAGUUUUGUUCUUAGUUGUUCUUUGUUCUUAGUUGACAGCCUCAUUUAUCUAUUUCAAUAGUAGUCCUAGCCUGCUUAUACAUUACAGCAUGUGUUGUAUGACUGUGAAAGACCAAUAACCCCAUGGGAUGUAUCAUUUUAUAGGGUAUUCAGAGUAGCAGCCUAUAUGUCACUAUUUGUUCCUCAGACAUUUUUUCAUACAGGGUAGUUUUUGGCAGGCUGUUUGUGAAAUGUUGACAUUUUCUUUCUUUUUCUAUUGUUUUCACUUUCAAUAAAACCA